RNA transcript from Crotalus tigris (Tiger rattlesnake), 3189 nucleotides. It is a transcript of the gene named MPN domain containing, with no coding region annotated. Lineage: Eukaryota; Metazoa; Chordata; Lepidosauria; Squamata; Viperidae. The record is from RefSeq and is a predicted model, not a curated record. The transcript is spliced from 13 exons.
UGUCUGUCUGUCUGUCUGUCUCUCUUUCUCUCUGUCUCUGACUCUCUCUAUCUACACCUACCUAGCCACCUAUUCUAUCUUUAGCCUGCCUUUAUUAUUUUUAUCAAUAACUCAAGGCCGUGAACAUACAUAUUACUCCUUCCUUCUCCUAUGUUCCCCAGAACAGCAACCCUACAAGGUAGGUUGGGCUGAGAGGGAGGGACUGGCCCACAGUCACCCACCCGGCUUCCAUUCCUAAAGUAGGACUAGAACUCACCGUCUCCUAGUUUCUAGCCUGGAGCCUUCACCACAAAAACAAACUGGCUGUCUUUGCCCUUCGUGGAGAAUAAAGGUGGGGGGGGGGGAAGGGGGAACCAUGCCAGGCCUCGGUAUCCAUCUUCAAGCCCUGAGCCAUCUUCUGGCCCUGGCUUCCUAAAUGGAAUGUAGCCUUCACGAGGACUAGGACCUUGAGCUUUUUUCGGAAAGGAACUCAAGCCAAAAGGGCAGGACGUGCCACCGGGGAUAUCGUAUCGCAGUUGGACUGUCCUGGGAGAAGUGGGGUGGUUUGACAAGCCUUCCGUGUUUUAGAAUAGAAUAGAAUAACAAGAGUGGGAAGGGACCUUGGAGGUCAUCCAGUCCAACCCCCCUCCUUGCCCAAGCAGGAGACCUUACACCAUUUCCGACAGAUGGCAGUCAGAAAUUUCUCUUCUUGAAAGCUUCCACGGUUGAAGCUCCCGCAACUUCUGAAGGCGGCCUUUCCCUCAUCCUGGUCAAAGGAAGAACGAAUCGGAGACGUUCAUGAGGUCUCCCUCCCGGAUCCCGCCUCUGAUUCGCUUCCUGCGUCCAUUUCCAGGGAUGGAUGCGGAAUCCCUGGCUGGGGAUGAGUGUCUGGAAGAGGAUGAGGAGGAGCUGGAGACCAGCUUGGAAGACCCUGAGCAGGACAGCGUGGGAAAAACCGUGCCGGGUGGACGCAGCUGCGGCCUCCUGACCCGCCGAGGAAUCACGCUCCGGGUUCUUCUCAAAGAUGGGCUGAUUGAACCCGGGGAAGGAGUCCUCUCGAUUUACUACCUGGGGAAGAAAUUUUGGGGCGACCUGCUGACCGAUGGGAAGAUCGCCUGGCAACAGACCGGACAGAUCUUUAACUCCCCCAGCGCCUGGGCCACCUACUGCAAGAAGCUGGUCAACCCUGCAAAGAAGUCGGGCUGCGGCUGGGCCUCGGUCAAGUACAAGGGGCAGAAACUUGACCAAUACAAGGCGGUCUGGCUGAAGAAGCAUCAACCCAACGCCCCCCCUGCAGAGGAGAGUCUGAUCAGCGAAGGGGAGGAAGAGGAUCUGGGUGAUGAGGAGGAAGAUGAAGCCAAAGGGAUGAAGGCGGCCUUGGCUGACUCCAUGCUGGCCAAGAAAGUGGACGAGAAAUCCAGGAAGCUGCUGGCGAAAAGUCUGUCAGACUCACACAACGCGGAACACAGCAAAAGGCUGGAAUGCCAGAAUCGAAUUCCUGUCCGCUAUUGCAGUUUGGGAAGUCGGGAUUCCGUCAGGAACCCCCAUACCUUGGUGGAGGUGACGUCUUUUGCAGCCCUCAACAAAUUCCAGCCUUUCAACGUGGCCAUCUCUAGCAACGUUCUCCUACUCGUGGAUUUCCACAGUCACUUAUCAAGAAGUGAAGUGGUGGGCUACCUGGCAGGCCAAUGGAACAUCAACAGCCAACUGCUGACGGUGCUGCGGGCGUUCCCUUGCCGGUCACGACUCGGGGACGGAGAGCUGGCAGCCAUUGUGGAAGAAGAGAUCUGCCAAAACCUCUUCCUGCGGGGGCUGUCGCUGGUGGGCUGGUAUCACAGCCACCCGUUCAGCCACCCUCUGCCUUCCCUGCAAGACAUCGACAUGCAGAUGGACUACCAGCUGAAGCUCCAGGGAUCCAGCAACAGCUUCCAGCCGUGCCUGGCGCUCAUUUGUGGUCCUUAUUACCAUGGCAACCAAGGCGUAGAAUCCAAGAUCUCCCCCUUCUGGGUGAUGCCACCCCCGGAGCAAAGACCCUAUGAUUACGGCAUCCCCAUGGAGGUUGAAGUCACCUACAUCCAGGAUGGAUUUUUAACGAACGACGUUCUCCACGAAAUGAUGCUGCUGGUGGAGUUCUACAAAGGGGCACCUGACAUGGUGAAGUUUCAAGACGCGUGGAGCCAGGAGCAGACCUACCUGGAUAAACUCAAGGGCUCCUUAGCUUCUAGGACACCCAAGGAUCAAAGCUUCGGACAUAUCCUGGAACAGGUCUACACUGCCCUCCAACACAGCAGCUGACGAAGCAGCUCUUUGAAGAGAGUCCGGGACUCCUACAGAAGACACAAACCUGGGUCGAGGCAGGAUUUGAAUCCGGAACUGCAGGCCGUGACAUUCAUCGGGGACAGGGUCGAAGUGGAUCCCUUUCGAAUGUUUGAAAUCAUCCCGUUUUGGGCUCGGCCUCUGGGCCCCCUGGCUGGAAAAGUGGAAGCACCCCUGGAUGUGUUAGCAAGUAGAUCGGCGCGCCCAUUUUACAGACGGGCGAGUCGAGAGCUUCAGUAGCGUAGCCUGGAGGGAGAUUUAGUUAGCACCAUUAGGAACUUAUGUUUCCCAUAAUGCAAGCAGAGAUGUCGCUUCAUUUGGGAAUGUUUUGUUGGCCAGAAAAAUGUUUACAUGAUGCAUUUUGAGCCAACGGGUUGAGAAACACUGCAGUGGCGAGAUGGGCGGCUGAUCAAUUUAAUCAAUAAAAACAUCGUAAUAACCAUCUGAAAAAGGGCAGGCUGGGGAAGCAAGGCUACCAAGAUCCCAUUAUCAUGGGUCAUGGAAGAAAAUUAAAAAUAUGUUGUAAAUCUCAUUCUUAGAGAAAAAGUGAUGACAAAUCAGGCUUGUCAUCUGGGAUGACAGACAGACAAAGAUUCAUCUGAAGAGAAGCAGAGAUGCUGGGUUGGGGAAAAAAUCCUUUCCCCCCCCCCCUUUUCAAGCUUUUUCUCCAAAAUGUGAGAUUGCAGAAGGACAAGACCCAGCAAGACUGAAUGAUGAGAUGGAGAACUUUGGUGGUGGCCAGGAUUGGGAGUUUACAAACGGUCAACCUGCCAGUAGACUCAAAACCUCGGAGGAAUAUAUAUAUAUAUAUAUAUGUUGUUGUUAAUUGUGAAGUCGUGUCCGACCCAUCGCGACCCCAUGGACGUUCCUCCAGGUCUUCCUGUCAUAUAUAUC